GGCGCCUGUAUUCCCAGCUACUCGGGAGGCUGAGGCAGGAAAAUGGUGUGAACUCGGGAGGCAGAACUUGGCAGUGAGCUGAGAUGGCGCCACUGCACUCCAGCCUGGGGGACAGAGCGAGACUCCGUCUCAAAAUAAAUAAAUAAAUUAAUUAAUUAAUUUUUGCCUGGGCACAGUGGCUCACGCCUGUAAUCCUAACACUUUGGGAGGCUGAGGCAGGUGGAUCACCUGGGGUCAGGAGUUCGAGACCAGCCUGGCCAACAUGGCAAAACCCCAUCUCUACUAAAAAUACAAAACUUAGCCAGGCAUGGUGGCAUGCGCCUGCAAUUUCAGGUACUAUGGAGGCUGAGGCAGGAGAAUUGCUGGGAGGUGGAGGCUGCAGUGAGCCAAGAUCGCGCCACUGCACUCCAAUGUGGGUGACAGAGUGAGACUCCAUCUCAAAAAUAAAUAAAUAAAUAAAAAAUUUUUUUUGAGACAGUCUUGCUCUGUUUCCCAAGUUGAAGGGCAGCGGUGCUAUCACAACUCACUGCAGCCUCAAGCUCCUGGGCUCAAGUGAUCCAUCACACCCGGCUACAUCACACCUGGCUAAUUUUUGUAAUUUUUGCAGGGGUGGGUUUUUUUUUUUUUUUUUUUUUUUUUUUUGGAGACGGAGUCUUGCUCUGUCGCCCAGGCUGGAGUGCAGUGGCGCAACCUGGGAUGAGGUCUUAUUAUGUUGCCUAAGCUGGUCUUGAACUCCAGGCUCAAGUGACCCUCCUGCCUCGGCCUCCCAGCUAGCUGGGAUUACAGGCACGCACCACCAUACCUGGCUAAUUUUUUAUUUGUUGUAGAGAUGGGGUGUCACUAUAUUGCCCAGGCUGGUCUCAAACUCCUGGCCUCAAGCAAUCCUCCCACCUUGGUCUCCCAAAGUGUAGGGAUUACAGGUAUGAGCCACUGCACCCAGCCAAAAAGUUUUUUAAAAAAGAAAAACUAGUGGCCGGGCACAGUGGCUCACGUCUGUAAUCCCAGCACUUUGGGAGGCCGAGGCAGGUGGAUCUCCUAAGGUCAGGAGUUCGAGACCAGCCUGGCCAACCUGGUGAAACCCCGUCUCUACUAAAAAUACAAAAAUUAGCUGAGUGUGGUGGUGCUUGCCUGUAAUCCCAGCUACUCAUAGGAGGCUGAGGCAGGAGAAUAGUUUGAACUUGGGAGGCAGUGGUUUCAGUGAGCUGAGAUUGUGUCACACCACGAGAGUGUGCCCACUUUAGCCUGGGCGUCAGAGUGAGACUCUGUCUCAUAAAUAAAGAGAAAAAAUAAAUUGGCAGAGCCACACAGAGUGUAAGAAACUAAUCAGAUCUAUUCAGCUAGAAAAGCAAUUUUGCACAACUGUGUCCAUUUUCCCCCUAAGGAGUUUUACACCUUUAUGCAAAUGGGGAGGUUGUGGGAAAUUGGAAUUUAAUGUUAAUUUGCAUUUCUGACCAUGGAAGGGUAGGUGAAAUGUGCCUUCUUUUCUAUGGCAUAGAUAAGACAGUGGCACUCUGAGAGGCUCAAAUGGAAGCUUCCUCUCCCAAAAGCCAUCCCCAGCAUACCUGUAAAACAAAAGUGGCGCAUCUCAGAAGGACCUUGGUGGUGUCGCUGGAAUGUUGAUCAACAAGAAUGAUACCUGCAAGGUGUAACUGCGCUUUGCAUUCCCUGAAGUACAGUAGGUGCCCCAUAAACAUCUGAUGGCUGGAUGAAUUAGUAAGUAAACGAGCUCUUUAUUUAAAGGUCCCACCCCAAACCAGCAUCCCUCAAUCAGUCCUGCCAUAACCAUCUAGGUGAGGGGGGUUGUUGAUGGAAAAAGGUAAGAAAGAAAUUUGCAAACUCCCCUGUUGGCUUCACAAUAAUUCAUGCUCAUCUGCAUCUAAUAAAAUAUGGAAGCAAUUUUACAGAACAUUUUGUGCUUUAUCGAUUCAUUUAACUCUUUCCUCCAGGGGGCAAGUCGUAUAUCCUCAUCCAGAUAUGUGGGAAGUUCCGUGAAUACAUCUGCAAAUAUCUUAAGAUGAGAUGCUCCUCUCCCUGCUGGGAACCUGACUCUAGUGAAGGAAAGCUUGAAAGUGAACACCAACCGGGCUUAUCCUGGCCUCCUCUCUACCCAUGGUUUCGUGCCCCUGUGUCUGUCCCACUGCCAACGUGACCUGAAAUUGCUAGAGGAGGGCUUCUAAGAGAUGAGCUGCUGUCCAUCCCAUCAGUCCUCUACACCAGACCACCAGGAAGGACAGAUGCUCAGGUGCCACAGCCGCUGCCACCGUCCCCCAAGAUACCACGAACAGUCCCUUCACUGUUUCCAGCUGUGUCUGCCUCUGUGAGCUGCCCCCAA
This 2332-nucleotide long non-coding RNA is filed under the name Homo sapiens (human). RNAcentral's name for it is "HSALNT0123217". The record is from RNAcentral. Lineage: Eukaryota; Metazoa; Chordata; Mammalia; Primates; Hominidae.